UUUAAAUAUAUUAAUUAGAUUAAUUAAUAAUUUACUGCCAUUAAAAUUAAAUUUAGAUUUUAAUUAAUCUUGUUCUCAUCAAGGAACAAGCUUGUUCCAGGAAACGGGUGGAACAGCAGUUCCAGCCUUAUACCAGCUAGUUACAGAUUCCCGGAAACUACUGUUUCCGGAAACCAAAAUUGCGUUUGGGAACAAAGGGGGGAACAAGGGCUUAUUCCCCCCUUGUUCCCGAACCAAACACUACCUAAAUUAUACUUUUGUAAAAAGAAAAUAUUAUAAUUAAUAAUAGGAAGUUUGAAUUAAGAAGUAAAUUUAUAUGUCUGCUUACUAUUUCAACAACAAAAAUAAAAGCUUUUUAUUGUCAAGUUAAUUUUAGUAUUUCACACCGACCGUCCCUAGAGCAAGUGCCAAAGGGCUUGGUAGUUGGUAUCUGAGACCCAAAUUCGAAUCCUAGUUGAUUCACAUUUUCAGCUAAGUUUAUUUUUAAAUGAAAUAAACAAAACGAGUAGCGUGCUAUCUAUCUCUCAAAAAAAAAAUUUAGUAUUUCACGCACCAAACAACAAAAAUUUACCAAUACAAUUUUCUGUAAAUAUAAAAAUUUGUAGCUUUUAACACUCUCCAGUCUCAACUACACUUCUUCGUCAAACAGAACGGACCGGUCUUAAUUGUAUUUUUUUUUCUUUUGAGAGAUUGGUAGCACGCUAUUUACUUCGUUUAUUUUAUUUAGAAAUAAAUUUAGCUAAAAAUGCGAAUCAUUUAGAAUUCGAACUUGAAAUUUCGGGUCUUAAUUAUCAAAUUCUUUGCCAUUUGUUCUAGGGACGGUCGGUACCGGUCUUAACUGUAGUGGCUCGUUGUUGCUUGAUUAAUUCUCUGUAACUGAAUCUUAUCUGUUUCUACAUUCAACUACUUAAUUAGCUCUUAAAAUAAUGGAUUUAAAUUAACAGUGUUCGGUCCCUAGCACAAAACAUGAUUAUAUAUGGUCGGCACUUAAGAUUCUACGUUUGAAAGUUAGUUACUUGCAGUUUUCGGCCAUGUUCGUAUCAUGCUGUCCUAUUUAAUAAUAUGUAAUCUUUUUUCAAAAGCAACUCUGUUCAAACUAAUAAACUGCACUUGUGCGGUGGUGGUGGUGGUGGUGUGUUUUGCAACAACCAACCAACCAAACAAACAAACAAACAAACAGAUCACGACGUUCACGUGCGGCGGCUUCGUGAUGGGGCUGCGCUUCAACCACG
Molecule: long non-coding RNA, 1232 nt
Filed under: Ananas comosus (pineapple)
Lineage: Eukaryota; Viridiplantae; Streptophyta; Magnoliopsida; Poales; Bromeliaceae
Description: long non-coding RNA (ACOM_LNC041310)
Source: RNAcentral